CAGAGUCACUACUGUUCUGUAGACGCAAGUCACUUAAAUGUUCAUAUAUGUCUUGUCAAUAUGAUACAGUUGGGACCAUCAGCAAAGGCAGAGGAUCAGAGCUGAGAUCAACUUACCUGGAGGAAAGCCUGCUGGAGCCAUAAACCUACAAGGACACUUUAAUGAUAUGGAAGUGGAGAUUUAUUGCUACAGAAGAUAAAAAGAGAGGAGAGGAGGAAGAAGAUAAAAUAAUUAAAAUAGUAAUUAAAGGUAAGAGAGAAAAUUGUUCAAUUGACCAUACUGGGAGCGAUCAAAGAAGUCCUCUGACACAAGACUGAGGAAUAAAAUGCCACGAAACCAGCUUCAGGAACUAACCAAAACUGAGAGAAGUCACAGGUCCCACAGGCCCCUGAAUCCUGAAUGAUAAACAACCAAAGCCAAAAUGAUGCCAGUGGAUAACCCAGCAGAUGCCAGCUGAGCCACAAGACAUCAAAGACAAGAAACCACUUCCACUUCUUUCUGAGUCUUGUACGCUUUGGCUAUCUCCCCACUACCAGGAUAGAUUCAGUCCUUUGAGUGAAAAAAAUGUGAAUUUCCAUGGGUUAAAAUUCAUGUAGACAUUUAGUUGUAGAGCCACAGACUGAGUUUUAUUUCACUUUAUGUGCGCAUCUAGUUAAAACUUCACUGGAUAUUCUGUUUACAAAACGAAAACUGAGGUGUCUAUGUUUUGUCCCUGCGAUCGUCUAUAUUCAGACUUCAUGUUCUUUUAAUUCUUCUUUUGUUUAAGCUAUCUUUUAUCACUUUCCAAGGCAAGGGGUAUUUAAAGAAGUGUUUAAAUAUAUCUUGGAACCAUUCUUAGCUGUUCAGCUGUUCUGAUUGCUAAUGUGAUUUCUUGCUCUGUUUAAACAACAGCUGUGGACCUACAGCCCUGUAUUCUCCUUUCGUAUUUUAAUGCUUUAAGCUGCAUCCUAGGAAAAUGGCCCUGCGGCUAUUGCUACGUUAUGGUACUGAUACACACAAUGGAAACGUGAAGGUGUGAAAUGAAGUUAAUUUGGUGUCAGUGUUCCUAUAUGUGUAAAUACUGAAACUGACAAUGAAACAGCCUCACAGAGAUGUGCCCGGACUUGUAAGAACAGAUCCCUCAAACACAUUAAUAAAUAAAUCGACAAGCAUUGAGUGUCACAUAGCAUAGGUGCUUGAAGCUAAUAAAUGAAGAAAAUGGCCCUUGUUUAUUUCUAGGCAUCUAUGAUCAUGGUAAGUUUUUGUAGGAGGUAUUUUGUUAUAUAAAAUCAGUAAUUCACUUAAUGUCCCGUUUGGUUUUGUCAUCCUUUUUGCUCCUUUUGGCUUAACAUUUGCAUUCAGAAGAAGAUAUUGAAAAUUAAAUAUUCAAGGUAUUGGCAUUUUAUUAUGGAAUUUCUAGGCAUUAAUACGUUUGUCUCUCCUAGAAUUACUGACAUUUAGAGUGCAUCCGGCCAUUGGUGAUAGGUGGCGAUAAUUUUUGCCAUCUUGCCGUUUGACUGGCUUCUGUGGAUGUUACAACAAGGUGUGGGAGGAGCCUGGAGGCCGAAGGGACCCACUGCAGAGCCUCUUCCUGGUGGUUCGGAUGAGAGCACCAUUCUCGCGUCUUGCCAGAACCACAGUAAUUUUUGACGGGAAAGAGAAUUUGUGACUUUAAUGCAAUCUUAAAACCAUAUCACUGUUUCCACUUCAAAUUUGGAGAUCAUAUGUGGGUUUCAACUUAACUAACAUGGAAAACUAUCUACGGAAAGAGUAAAAUGCACUGCUAGAACGACAGUAUUAUUGUUGACAGUUUAGUAAAUGCCAGGCCCUUGGCAAGAUUACCAAAAAUAUGCCUUCCCUAAUAUUCUGGAUAAACAAGGAGGGGAGUGCGUGUGGAUUCAAGGAGGGUAGGUAUUCUGAGAGGUGGAAAGGGAAAGAGUGGGAUCGUGAUGUGGGGAAUGGUCCAUUGUAACCCCAAGUCAUAUCACCUGGGAGAUUGAGCAGCAGGUCCAAGCCUGUGAUGCUGGAGCUGAUGCUCUAACUUCCCACCUGGUCUCUAGAAAGGGAGAGAAGAUGAAGGGGCUGGUGGAGGCUGGCAUUAUCCUUCCCAUUUACGGAUGAGAAAUUAAAACUAUGAAAAUUAAGUAACUUGCUCAGGGUUAAGUAAAGAGCAGAGCAAGAAUUUAAUCUAUUUACAAUGUAGAUUUUUCCUAUCAUACCAAGCCACCUCCUAAGAAUUAACUUUGCAUGUAUUAUUUGGCUAACGAUUUCUAUUUUAAGUCCUCAGGAUUAUGGAACCAAUAAAUCAAUGUCAUUAAUAGGCAACUCACUGGCACUCACUUCUAAAAGUAACAGAGGGUAAGAAUUUAUAAUCUGACAAAAUAGAUAACAAGCGUCCAAAGAAUCAGGAUUACUGAAACCAUCAAAACUGCACUAGAGAAUUAGAGCUAGCACUGAUGAUAAAAUCAAUAAAUGGAAAAAUGUGGUAGGAAAAGGCUGACCUUUCACAAGGAAGCAAUGAAAUAUUAGUAUUCCAUCUGGUUUCCAGAAGAACUAGAGGAUAAUAGACUUGAAUUUAUUAAAACCUCCUACAAGAUUCUUUAAAUUGUGCUUAGGGAAAAGCAAAGCUGUGUAUGUAUUAUGCCUGUUUGUGAUUCAGGAAAUAUCCCACAAUUGUGUAUGAGUGCACGUGUAUAAAUGUGUGGACGAGGAAACACGAAUAAAGCACCAAAACCUUUAUUGCAGGAAGAAGGUGUUUAUUCCAUCUUCUUGCCUAUACCCAAAGAGUUGGGUAACAAUUUCAUGAAGUCAGGAAACUAUAUCAAUUGACAAUUCAUUUCAACCAAUGUAGAGUCUUAUUUCAGUGUGAACUUUCAUUUCUUUGCUCAAAUCUUUGCCUGCUCCCUCCCUCUGUCAUGUAUCCAUCUAAAAACUAUGGAGCAUCAAAUCCAUUAAAUUUAAACAUAUGUGAAGGAGUCAUGGAAGUCAGAUGUCAGAGACAAUUGCUCUGUUAUGGAGCGAUAGAGUAUUGAAAGAGGGGAAAGGGAGUUUGGAGAGGAGAAGCAGAUUAAGUAUAGUAAGAGAACACUAAAAGUUAGAAGCUUGACACACUUUUAUACAGCUGGAAUCAGAGAAAGUUAAUAUCUUCAUUUUACAAGAUACUUUUUAUUGAUAGCAUGUUUUCUAAGGAUAAGAUUUGGAUAAAAUAUGUUUAAUUGAUACUAAAGACGGCUGCUGCUGCUGCUAAGUCACUUCAGUCAUGUCUGAUUCGCAAUCCAAGGUUAAUGGGCCCCAAAACUCAUACCUCAAUAAUCUGGAUGGCCAACUUCAAGAGGGAAAAAGCACCGUAAAGUUAGAAAUUAAAGCACAGGUAUGAGGACUUGGAAGGAACUUGUCCAAGUGGGGUCUUGACGUUCAAAUACAUUAACUUCUAAUGCAGACACAUAUACAAAUAUUUGAGGUUAUGUUUCAUUCUGAAAAGAACCUCGAAAAAAUUUCAAUAGUGGACUUAGCAGUAAAGGUCACAGAAACCACCAAUUUCUCCAAGUAAAUGGCUUUUUACCUAUUUUUGUCUGCAAUCCAUGUUCCUCCAGGACACCUAACACUCAGCUUUAAUAAACUGAAGUCACUGCUGCCCUGCAGACCUGAGUAGAAUCUCCACUUUGUCACUGUGGAUGAUGCCACCAACAGAAUAAUGAUUCGACAUUUCUGGUUUUUCCCAGGAUUAAAAUACCAUGUAGAAAGCACACCUGUGUUGCCAAUGAUACAUUACAUAAUUUACUGGUAUUUGCAAGAUGGUUUACAUGGUAUAAUUUCAUUUAAUGAAAAUGUGUCUCUCUGAUUUGAAGUUGUAGUUAAGCUGUAUUUCAUUCUCCAUGUCUUUUCGGAACAUUGCCCUAUCUUUAGUUCUCAAUUCUUACUCUAUUAUUUUGGGGUUUUCCAAGUUUUCUUCAGUUAGCAGG
Long non-coding RNA from Capra hircus (goat), 3941 nucleotides. The record is from Ensembl. NCBI's taxonomy places the organism in Eukaryota, Metazoa, Chordata, Mammalia, Artiodactyla, Bovidae.